CCUACGGGAGGCUGCAGUGGGGAAUAUUGGGCAAUGGGUGCAAGCCUGACCCAGCAACGCCGCGUGAAGGACGAAGGCUUUCGGGUUGUAAACUUCUUUUAAGAGGGAAGAGCAGAAGACGGUACCUCUUGAAUAAGCCACGGCUAACUACGUGCCAGCAGCCGCGGUAAUACGUAGGUGCCAAGCGUUGUCCGGAUUUACUGGGUGUAAAGGGCGUGUAGCCGGGCUGACAAGUCAGAUGUGAAAUUCCGGGGCUCAACCCCGGACCGUCAUGUGAAACUGUUGGUCUUGAGUAUCGGAGAGGCAGGCGGAAUGCCUAGUGUAGCGGUGAAAUGCGUAGAUAUUAGGAGGAACACCAGUGGCGAAGGCGGCCUGCUGGACGACAACUGACGGUGAGGCGCGAAAGCGUGGGGAGCAAACAGGAUGAGAUACCCUAGUAGUC
This 442-nucleotide ribosomal RNA is filed under the name uncultured bacterium. Its description in RNAcentral is "partial 16S ribosomal RNA". It matches the Rfam family "Bacterial small subunit ribosomal RNA", at positions 338 to 795 of the family's 1533-position model. The record is from RNAcentral.